RNAcentral lists this long non-coding RNA (309 nucleotides) under Amborella trichopoda. Its description in RNAcentral is "long non-coding RNA (ATRI_LNC005165)". Lineage: Eukaryota; Viridiplantae; Streptophyta; Magnoliopsida; Amborellales; Amborellaceae. The record is from RNAcentral.
ACAAAAUUCCAACCCAACGGUGUUCAUGUUAACCAACGGCUACGGCUGCAGCUUGGCUGGCGCAUUUCUCUCACUAGACCUGAAUUUUUAAAGGACCGAAAUGCCCAUCGUAAUUUUGGAUAUUUGUCCAAAGGAUGCUCUUUGUAUAGAGCCUAGGCUCUAAACAAUCAAAUUACAGCCUACCUUCAAAUAGUGUUUAGAAAUGUGGUUUGAAUAUUGAAAAUUUUCGUGAUAGCCUUAAAAUAUAUUUUCAUAUCUAUUUAUAAAGUUCAAAACUUCAAAAAUAGUGUAGAUUGAGUAGAUCUAUGA